This 503-nucleotide ribosomal RNA is filed under the name uncultured bacterium. Its description in RNAcentral is "partial 16S ribosomal RNA". It matches the Rfam family "Bacterial small subunit ribosomal RNA", at positions 30 to 523 of the family's 1533-position model. The record is from RNAcentral.
AUUGAACGCUGGCGGCAGGCUUAACACAUGCAAGUCGAGCGGGGUGAUGGUGCUUGCACUAUCACUUAGCGGCGGACGGGUGAGUAAUGCUUAGGAAUCUGCCUAUUAGUGGGGGACAACAUCUCGAAAGGGAUGCUAAUACCGCAUACGUCCUACGGGAGAAAGCAGGGGAUCACUUGUGACCUUGCGCUAAUAGAUGAGCCUAAGUCGGAUUAGCUAGUUGGUGGGGUAAAGGCCUACCAAGGCGACGAUCUGUAGCGGGUCUGAGAGGAUGAUCCGCCACACUGGGACUGAGACACGGCCCAGACUCCUACGGGAGGCAGCAGUGGGGAAUAUUGGACAAUGGUGUGAACCCUGAUCCAGCCAUGCCGCGUGUGUGAAGAAGGCCUUAUGGUUGUAAAGCACUUUAAGCGAGGAGGAGGCUCUUUUGGUUAAUACCCAAGAUGAGUGGACGUUACUCGCAGAAUAAGCACCGGCUAACUCUGUGCCAGCCGCCGCGGUAA